UUUCCGUAGGUGAACCUGCGGAAGGAUCAUUAACAAAAUCUACAACACACGCACCCUGUUGAAUGUAUGUGGUGAGGGAGGCGGGUAGGGGUGGUGGUGGUGGUGGUGGUCUUUGAUCCUCACCCAUCAUCAUCUCUUCUGUCGCCACCACCCUCAUCACAACAACAAGCUCAUGCAUGUGUCGUCUGACUAUAUUCACCCGGAGAGGUGAAUAUAUGAUGCUGACACUGUGCAUGUCUUGGGCGAGCAAAGAGAGAGUCAUCAUGUGGUGGUGGCAUGUGUAUGUAUGUAUGUAUGUAUGUAUAUGUAUAUAUAUAUGUACACACCCCACCACAUGAUGCCACCCUCUUCUCGCACAUAUCUUAGACUAUUGAUUAGACUGAUGUAUAUACAUCUGAGAGAUAGAUAUCAUCUCAUAACGUUAACAACUUUUAACAAUGGAUCUCUUGGCUCUU
This 455-nucleotide unclassified non-coding RNA is filed under the name plant metagenome. Its description in RNAcentral is "partial contains small subunit ribosomal RNA, internal transcribed spacer 1, and 5.8S ribosomal RNA". The record is from RNAcentral.